CGGUAGCUCAGUGGUAGAGCAGCGCGCUGUUAACGCGUUGGUCGCAGGUUCGAAUCCCGCCCG
RNAcentral lists this transfer RNA (63 nucleotides) under marine eukaryotic metagenome. It matches the Rfam family "tRNA", at positions 5 to 66 of the family's 71-position model. Rfam says of the family: Transfer RNA (tRNA) molecules are approximately 80 nucleotides in length. Their secondary structure includes four short double-helical elements and three loops (D, anti-codon, and T loops). Further hydrogen bonds mediate the characteristic L-shaped molecular structure. tRNAs have two regions of fundamental functional importance: the anti-codon, which is responsible for specific mRNA codon recognition, and the 3' end, to which the tRNAs corresponding amino acid is attached (by aminoacyl-tRNA synthetases). tRNAs cope with the degeneracy of the genetic code in two manners: having more than one tRNA (with a specific anti-codon) for a particular amino acid; and 'wobble' base-pairing, i.e. permitting non-standard base-pairing at the 3rd anti-codon position. The record is from RNAcentral.